GUGCCAGCAGCCGCGGUAAUACGUAGGAGACGAGCGUUGUCCGGAAUUACUGGGCGUAAAGCGCGUGUAGGCGGAUGAGCAAGUCUGCUGUGAAAGCUCCUGGCUUAACCGGGAGUGGUCGGUGGAAACUGCUCGUCUGGAGGACGGUAGAGGUAGGUAGAAUUCCCGGUGUAGUGGUGAAAUGCGUAGAGAUCGGGAGGAAUACCUGUGGCGAAGGCGGCCUACUGGGCCGGACCUGACGCUGAGACGCGAAGGCGUGGGGAGCGAACGGGAUUAGAUACCCCGGUAGUCC
Molecule: ribosomal RNA, 292 nt
Filed under: uncultured bacterium
Lineage: Bacteria
Description: partial 16S ribosomal RNA
Rfam family: Bacterial small subunit ribosomal RNA
Source: RNAcentral